GUCCACACCGUAACGUUGGGCGCUAGGUGUGGGAUCCAUUCCACGGGUUCCGUGCCGCAGCUAACGCAUUAAGCGCCCCGCCUGGGGAGUACGGCCGCAAGGCUAAACUCAAAGGAAUUGACGGGGCCCGCACAAGCGGCGGAGCAUGCGGAUUAAUUCGAUGCAACGCGAAGAACCUUACCUGGGUUUGACAUACGCCGGAAAGCUCUAGAGAUAGAGCCCCUUUUAGUCGGUGUACAGGUGGUGCAUGGCUGUCGU
Molecule: ribosomal RNA, 258 nt
Filed under: uncultured bacterium
Lineage: Bacteria
Description: partial 16S ribosomal RNA
Rfam family: Bacterial small subunit ribosomal RNA
Source: RNAcentral